CAGUGUUGUUCAGUGAAAAACUACGGAGUCUGGAGCCAGCUGCCAGGGUUGAAUCCAACUCUGCACUUAACGAGCUGAGCGCCUUGGGCAAGUUACUUCACCUCUCUGUGCCCCCUAGUUUCCUCAUCUGUUAAAUGGGGAUGAUGAUGGUGCCUGCCUCUCAGGAAGGAGUACUGCCAGGGGUAUUGUUUCAAAACCUCCACAAAUAACUCCGUAAAGGUUCAUGGAUCCUGUGAGAAAAGAAUUAUUAUUGCCAUCAAGGCUGUGUUCCAGCUGAGGAAACCUGGGCCUGGUUUCUUACUGGAGAAACUUAGCAACAUCACGUAGCUGGUAGGUGCCAGAGCCUGAGUUUAAACCCACAGAAGCUAGGAAAAAGAAAAAGGAGGAGAAGAAGAAAAAGAAAAACCCACGGAAGCUGGCUCCGGAGGUCAUGCCCUUUGCCACGGCAUUAUUUUUCGCAGGCAGCACUCCCGUGAGCAUUCAGCUUCCAGAAUACCUUUGCCAUUUUUAUUCCCAAUUCGGGGACAGAUGGUGGCACCAGACCCAGGAGGGCAGAGCCUCUGAGCUCCGCAGCAAACAGUGCCCCCAGGCCAAAGCGACAAGGCCACAGCUCUCCCUGGGCAAACCCGGUUAAGCAGACGUAGGAUGGUUUCCUUCCAAGAACGUCUCUCCUGUCCAUGUCCUUGUCAGUUUUCCCAUCAGGAAAAUGGGCAUGUGUAAUAUGCACCCGUGGCAAUAGCUGCAAGAACUAAUUAGCGCCUGAAAUGUGUGUCAAGAUCCCCGGCGAGAGGUGCUGUAAUAGGGGCAAAGGAUUCUCGCAUGAGUUCCAGUUUUGCCUCCUGUGGCCCGGUCCUCCCUGGGCGGGAGGUGGUGCCCCGUCUUGUUGAGAUCUGAUCUCUAAAUGCAACUGUGUGUUUUCUUUCAUCCAAAUGACUGUGCUCAUCUCGGGAGCAGCCUUUAAUUUUCUUCUUGGAACCGAGGACCAUCCUUACUUACAGCAACAAAAGGUCCCUGGGACGGUGAGGUAAGAUUUGAAUUAAGAUACCUUGGCAUCCUUCACUCCCCGGCAAUUAACGGGCAGCAGGUUUUCAGCAGCACUCACUCUCCUGAGAGCGCCCUUUGUCUCAGGACUGCCUGUCUGUCCUGUUGUCCGUCGUCCCGAUGCAGCAGCCCCCCCCCGGCGGCCGGCUCUCUGCAAGGUGCCAGGCAGGUGCACGGCGUGGCGGGGACCUCCGAGGGCCCAGCCUGAUGGGGAAGCCAUGUGGCUCUCAGACCCCCGUCUGCGUGGCGAACAUCACAUACGGCCGGGCCCCAGUGACUGUCCAGGCGGCCCGUUCUCCCCGUGUCUUCCUCACCCUCACCUGCCUCUGGGCCACCGUUGUUCGUUAUUAGCAUCCCUCUCCGGAGAAGAGAGAAAAGGAGAGAAGAGCCAACCUUUGCUUGUCCGUUUGGCUCCUUGUCAGCGACUCUGGGCCUCCGUGCUACAUUCCAAGUGACAUGUCCACAUUCGCCACGGACAAGAAUGACAGAUGGGGAAAAAUCAUCUUUGACCCUUGAAAGUCGGUCAUGUUUUAUGAGUCCUUGACCUGAGCGAGUUCAUUUGUGAAAGGCGUUAAACGGCAGAGCUGACAGAGGGAUGGCAACUCCGUGCAAAGCGGGGACGGUUCUGGAAGGAGAUUCAGACAUUCCACACGGGAAGCUAGCGCGGUCCGUUCGCUCUGUGGCGUCUACGGAGACCUGCUGAAGGAAUGGAACCUGCCGACGUGCAGAAGGGCCGAACCUCCUGGGAAGGGCUGUGUCCCAGCCACCCCACCGAGGCCGGCCGCCAUCAGGGCCCGGUCGGGGCCUCGGCGUAGUAAGGGAAGUACUUACUAAUAACGGGUGGGGAUGAGCUGGGAGGAAAACGUGAUGGGACUCGUUCAGCCUUGUCCAGGCCACACCCAGUUUAGUCAACGACUUCUGAACCCGGGGAAGGGAAAGGAACACAGUGGCGCUUGGACCGAGGGCUUUGAAAUAAAAAUGUCAACGCGCUCCUGCGAGUGUGGCCCAAUCCCGUUCUCUUCCAGAAGAGAAAUGCCCCACGUGGCCAGGCUGGUCCUGAAAAGGAGCCCCGUCCUGCAGACACCUGACUGUUCUACUGAAGGAACAGCCUGCCGGCCUGAUCUGCUUCCUCCCCUUGAAACAGAGGAACCGGGACUGGCUGCCCCGCUAGAGCUGUGUCAGCAGGAAUCAGAGGGAAUCCGUUUUCUGCCAGGAUGGAAUUGAACCUCCACAGGCAUGCGCUGUGGCGGCAUUUAAAAAUACGUUUUCUAGGCGCCUGAAAUGUAAACGCAGGUAAAAUAAAUAAAAGCCAAUUAACAAUA
This is a long non-coding RNA of Leopardus geoffroyi (Geoffroy's cat), 2363 nucleotides long. RefSeq lists it as uncharacterized. The record is from RefSeq and is a predicted model, not a curated record. The transcript is spliced from 4 exons. Lineage: Eukaryota; Metazoa; Chordata; Mammalia; Carnivora; Felidae.